GACGAACGCUGGCGGCGUGCUUAACACAUGCAAGUCGAACGGAAAGGCCCUGCUUUUGUGGGGUGCUCGAGUGGCGAACGGGUGAGUAACACGUGAGUAACCUGCCCUUGACUUUGGGAUAACUUCAGGAAACUGGGGCUAAUACCGGAUAGGAGCUCCUGCUGCAUGGUGGGGGUUGGAAAGUUUCGGCGGUUGGGGAUGGACUCGCGGCUUAUCAGCUUGUUGGUGGGGUAGUGGCUUACCAAGGCUUUGACGGGUAGCCGGCCUGAGAGGGUGACCGGCGACAUUGGGACUGCGAUAAGGCCCAGACUCCUACGGGAGGCAGCAGUGGAGAAUAUUGCACAAUGGGCGGAAGCCUGAUGCAGCAACGCCGCGUGCGGGAUGACGGCCUUCGGGUUGUAAACCGCUUUCGCCUGUGACGAAGCGUGAGUGACGGUAAUGGGUAAAGAAGCACCGGCUAACUACGUG
Molecule: ribosomal RNA, 468 nt
Filed under: uncultured bacterium
Lineage: Bacteria
Description: partial 16S ribosomal RNA
Rfam family: Bacterial small subunit ribosomal RNA
Source: RNAcentral